Molecule: long non-coding RNA, 119 nt
Organism: Octopus sinensis (East Asian common octopus)
Lineage: Eukaryota; Metazoa; Mollusca; Cephalopoda; Octopoda; Octopodidae
Exons: 3
Source: RefSeq, a predicted model, not a curated record
AUAUAUAUAUAUAUAUAUAUAUGGUGGUCUUACAACAGGGUUUCUCAACCGUUUUUUACCUAUAGACCCCUUUGAUUGCUAUUCUACUCUAUUGGACCAUCCUAGACAUUUGAUGUUUA